RNAcentral lists this transfer RNA (76 nucleotides) under Hyphomonadaceae bacterium. RNAcentral's name for it is "tRNA-Arg". The stretch from base 13 to 73 matches the Rfam family "tRNA". From Rfam's summary of the family: Transfer RNA (tRNA) molecules are approximately 80 nucleotides in length. Their secondary structure includes four short double-helical elements and three loops (D, anti-codon, and T loops). Lineage: Bacteria; Pseudomonadati; Pseudomonadota; Alphaproteobacteria; Hyphomonadales; Hyphomonadaceae. The record is from RNAcentral.
GCCAGUAUGUGAGAGUAUGUGCUGUANCAGAUUCCUAAUCUGUAGGUCACAGGUUCAAAUCCUGUCGGGGUCGCCA